AUGAACGCUGGCGGCGUGCCUAAUACAUGCAAGUCGAACGAAUCUCUUUUAGAGAUGAGUGGCGAACGGGUGAGUAAUACAUAGGUAACCUGCCCCUGUGCGGGGGAUAACAGGAGGAAACUCCUGCUAAUACCGCAUAGCCAUGAGCACCGCAUGGAGCUCAUGCCAAAUAUCCUUUAUGGGAUAGCGCAGGGAUGGACCUAUGGCGCAUUAGCUGGUUGGCGGGGCAACGGCCCACCAAGGCAACGAUGCGUAGCCGGCCUGAGAGGGCGGACGGCCACAUUGGGACUGAGACACGGCCCAGACUCCUACGGGAGGCAGCAGUAGGGAAUUUUCGGCAAUGGGGGAAACCCUGACCGAGCAACGCCGCGUGAGCGAAGAAGGCCUUCGGGUCGUAAAGCUCUGUUGUAAAGGAAGAACGGCGCAUACAGGAAAUGGUAUGCGAGUGACGGUACUUUACCAGAAAGCCACGGCUAACUACGUGCCAGCAGCCGCGGUAAUACGUAGGUGGCGAGCGUUAUCCGGAAUCAUUGGGCGUAAAGAGGGAGCAGCGGCCGCAAGGGUCUGUGGUGAAAGACCGAAGCUAAACUUCGGUAAGCCAUGGAAACCGGGCGGCUAGAGUGCGGAAGAGGAUCGUGGAAUUCCAUGUGUAGCGGUGAAAUGCGUAGAUAUAUGGAGGAACACCAGUGGCGAAGGCGACGGUCUGGGCCGCAACUGACGCUCAUUCCCGAAAGCGUGGGGAGCAAAUAGGAUUAGAUACCCUAGUAGUCCACGCCGUAAACGAUGGUCACUAAGUGUCGGGGGUCAAACCCCGGUGCUGCAGUCAACGCAAUAAGUGACCCGCCUGAGUAGUACGUUCGCAAGAAUGAAACUCAAAUGAAUUGACGGA
Molecule: ribosomal RNA, 889 nt
Filed under: uncultured bacterium
Lineage: Bacteria
Description: bacterial SSU rRNA
Rfam family: Bacterial small subunit ribosomal RNA
Source: RNAcentral